Molecule: ribosomal RNA, 254 nt
Filed under: uncultured bacterium
Lineage: Bacteria
Description: partial 16S ribosomal RNA
Rfam family: Bacterial small subunit ribosomal RNA
Source: RNAcentral
UACGUAGGGUGCGAGCGUUGUCCGGAAUUACUGGGCGUAAAGUGUGCGCAGGCGGCAGAGCAAGUCGAGUGUGAAAGCCCCCGGGCUUAACUUGGGAAUUGCGCUCGAAACUACUUUGCUGGAGUGUGGCAGAGGAAGGUGGAAUUCCACGUGUAGCGGUGAAAUGCGUAGAGAUGUGGAGGAACACCAAUGGCGAAGGCGGCUACCUGGACCAGCACUGACACUGAGGCACGAAAGCGUGGGGAGCAAACAGG